RNAcentral lists this ribosomal RNA (253 nucleotides) under uncultured bacterium. Its description in RNAcentral is "partial 16S ribosomal RNA". It matches the Rfam family "Bacterial small subunit ribosomal RNA", at positions 524 to 776 of the family's 1533-position model. The record is from RNAcentral.
UACAGAGGGUGCAAGCGUUAUUCGGAAUUACUGGGCGUAAAGCGUGUGUAGACGGCUUUGCAAGUCCGGCGUGAAAGCCCCGGGCUCAACCUGGGAAUUGCAUUCGAGACUGUGUAGCUAGGGUACGGUAGGGGGAAGCGGAAUUUCAGGUGUAGCGGUGAAAUGCGUAGAUAUCUGAAGGAACACCAGUGGCGAAAGCGGCUUCCUGGUCCAGUACCGACGUUCAGGCACGAAAGCGAGGGGAGCAAACAGG